RNAcentral lists this ribosomal RNA (1027 nucleotides) under wastewater metagenome. RNAcentral's name for it is "bacterial LSU rRNA". It matches the Rfam family "Bacterial large subunit ribosomal RNA", at positions 1638 to 2658 of the family's 2925-position model. The record is from RNAcentral.
ACGACCGUACCGCAAACCGACACUGGUGCGCGAGAUGAGUAUUCUAAGGCGCUUGAGAGAACUCUGGAGAAGGAACUCGGCAAAUUGACACCGUAACUUCGGAAGAAGGUGUGCCUUUAGUAGGUGAACCAUUUACUUGGGGAGCCCAAUGAGGCCGCAGAGAAUCGGUGGCUGCAACUGUUUAUUAAAAACACAGCACUCUGCAAAGACGAAAGUCGACGUAUAGGGUGUGACUCCUGCCCGGUGCUGGAAGAUUAAAUGAUGGGGUGCAAGCUCUUGACUGAAGUCCCAGUAAACGGCGGCCGUAACUAUAACGGUCCUAAGGUAGCGAAAUUCCUUGUCGGGUAAGUUCCGACCUGCACGAAUGGAGUAAUGAUGGCCACACUGUCUCCUCCAGAGACUCAGCGAAGUUGAAAUGUUUGUGAUGAUGCAAUCUCCCCGCGGAAAGACGGAAAGACCCCAUGAACCUUUACUGUAGCUUUACAUUGGACUUUGAACAGAUCUGUGUAGGAUAGGUGGGAGGCUUUGAAGUAAGGUCGCUAGAUCUUAUGGAGCCAACGUUGAAAUACCACCCUGGUGUGUUUGAGGUUCUAACCUUGUCCCGUUAUCCGGGUCGGGGACAGUGUAUGGUGGGCAGUUUGACUGGGGCGGUCUCCUCCCAAAGUGUAACGGAGGAGUUCGAAGGUACGCUAGUUACGGUCGGAAAUCGUGACGAUAGUGCAUUGGCAUAAGCGUGCUUGACUGCGAGACUGACAAGUCGAGCAGGUACGAAAGUAGGACAAAGUGAUCCGGUGGUUCUGUAUGGAAGGGCCAUCGCUCAACGGAUAAAAGGUACUCUGGGGAUAACAGGCUGAUACCGCCCAAGAGUUCAUAUCGACGGCGGUGUUUGGCACCUCGAUGUCGGCUCAUCUCAUCCUGGGGCUGUAGCCGGUCCCAAGGGUAUGGCUGUUCGCCAUUUAAAGAGGUACGUGAGCUGGGUUUAAAACGUCGUGAGACAGUUUGGUCCCUAUCUUCCGUGGGCGCUGCA